CUACGGGCGGCUGCAGUGAGGAAUAUUGCACAAUGGGGGGAACCCUGAUGCAGCAACGCCGCGUGGAGGAUGACGCAUUUCGGUGUGUAAACUCCUUUUAUAUGUCAAGAAAACGACGGUAGCAUAUGAAUAAGCACCGGCUAACUCCGUGCCAGCAGCCGCGGUAAUACGGAGGGUGCAAGCGUUACUCGGAAUCACUGGGCGUAAAGGACGCGUAGGCGGGUUGGAAAGUCAGGUGUGAAAUCCUACAGCUUAACUGUAGAACUGCACUUGAAACUUCUAAUCUAGAGUAUGGGAGGGGGAGAUGGAAUUAGUGGUGUAGGGGUAAAAUCCGUAGAUAUCACUAGGAAUACCUAAAGCGAAGGCGAUCUACUAGAACAUUAUUGACGCUAAGGCGUGAAAGCGUGGGGAGCAAACAGGAUUAGAUACCCCAGUAGUC
RNAcentral lists this ribosomal RNA (439 nucleotides) under uncultured bacterium. Its description in RNAcentral is "partial 16S ribosomal RNA". It matches the Rfam family "Bacterial small subunit ribosomal RNA", at positions 339 to 795 of the family's 1533-position model. The record is from RNAcentral.